Molecule: long non-coding RNA, 510 nt
Organism: Ochotona curzoniae (black-lipped pika)
Lineage: Eukaryota; Metazoa; Chordata; Mammalia; Lagomorpha; Ochotonidae
Exons: 3
Source: RefSeq, a predicted model, not a curated record
UCAGCCUCACCCAUGUCACUUAGUUCCUGUGCACGCAUUCAUGCUUUAUUUAAACUGAUGGCCCCCUGACGGGGAAAAGUGCUGUCCCCUGGCUUUGGGGUGAAGGCUCCUUAACUGAGCUUUUAAAUAGACCGGGCGGAGGUGGGGGAUGUGAGAGGACGGAGGGAAAGAACCUUUGCUAGGCUGCUGGGAUUCUAUUUUCUCCAGCGAGAAUGGAAGCCUCGGACUGUAAGCACGCAAAGGAACCCGAGUGUACAGACAGCGUGUCUGCCAGCACAGAGUUCUCUGUCGGGAGGAAUAGAGGCAGGAAAUAAGAAAGAACAGUGAGAGGAUCUGUGUUGUUUCCGUUUUACUAAUUGAUAGACCCGUCACCCUUGCUUCCUGCAAGCCGGGACCGCUCAGUUGUCCACUUGGGGUCAUAUCGGUCCCUCCAACGGUAUUUGAAGAGUUGUCAGGUUGCCCGGGGUCUGUGCUCUAAUCAACCUCGCAUGUGCCACUGCUCCCGGUUCU